Long non-coding RNA from Cervus elaphus (red deer), 344 nucleotides. RefSeq lists it as uncharacterized. The record is from RefSeq and is a predicted model, not a curated record. Lineage: Eukaryota; Metazoa; Chordata; Mammalia; Artiodactyla; Cervidae. The transcript has 4 exons.
CUUGGCAGGUAGACUCUUUCUUGAUGGUAAAGGUGGUAUGAGUGAAGAUGUUGGGGGCCAAACAUAUCCCUGAAAACCUGCAUUGAACUGGAUGAUGAAAGCAGCAGUUUUUCUUCCAUGAGAAUUUGUUGGAGAUGCCAAGGCUCCCAGAAUGAUGGGACAAAGUGAUACUGGCUGCUCUGGAGGCUCUGAAACUUCAGCGGUCAACAGAGGAUCCUCUUGUGUCAAAAAGCACAAGGAAAUUUCAUGUGAAAACAUAGUGAGAAGGAAGAAGUCUGCAAGCCAGGAAGAGAUGCUUGACCAGAGACCAACCCUGCUGGCUCCUGGAUUUUGGACUUUCAGCC